UACGGAAGGUGCAAGCGUUAAUCGGAUUUACUAGGCGUAAAGCGUGCGUAGGCGGUUUUGUAAGUCGGAUGCGAAAGCCCUGGGCUUAACCUGGGAAUUGCAUUCGAUACUGCUUAACUAGAGUAUGGUAGAGGGAAGUGGAAUUUCCGGUGUAGCGGUGAAAUGCGUAGAUAUCGGAAGGAACACCAGUGGCGAAGGCGACUUCCUGGGCCAAUACUGACGCUGAGGUGCGAAAGCGUGGGGAGCAAACAGG
Molecule: unclassified non-coding RNA, 253 nt
Filed under: uncultured Gammaproteobacteria bacterium
Lineage: Bacteria; Pseudomonadati; Pseudomonadota; Gammaproteobacteria
Description: contains 16S-23S intergenic spacer region
Rfam family: Bacterial small subunit ribosomal RNA
Source: RNAcentral